CCGGCCUUCCUUGGGGAGUAGCCUGCCGUCACCCGUUGACGGCGCGCUGGUCAACAUUCUUGGCAACCUGCCAUGGCCAGCGCAUCCAACCGGAUUGGUGAGACCAACGACAUUCCUGCGCCGAAGCCGGGCCGCGGGGUCAUGUCGUUGACUCAUGCCCGGCUGG
RNAcentral lists this small RNA (166 nucleotides) under Pseudomonas aeruginosa. RNAcentral describes it as "Manganese sequence". It matches the Rfam family "Manganese Mn2+ riboswitch aptamer (yybP-ykoY)". From Rfam's summary of the family: This RNA was originally discovered in E. coli during a large scale screen and was named SraF. The family was later found to exist upstream of related families of protein genes in many bacteria, including the the yybP and ykoK genes in B. subtilis. Lineage: Bacteria; Pseudomonadati; Pseudomonadota; Gammaproteobacteria; Pseudomonadales; Pseudomonadaceae. The record is from RNAcentral.